CCUACGGGUGGCAGCAGUGAGGAAUAUUGGUCAAUGGCCGGAAGGCUGAACCAGCCAAGUCGCGUGAGGGACGACUGCCCUAUAGGUUGUAAACCUCUUUUAUCAGGGAGGAAUAGAUGCUACGCGUAGCAUGACGCGUGUACCUGAAGAAAAAGCAUCGGCUAACUCCGUGCCAGCAGCCGCGGUAAUACGGAGGAUGCGAGCGUUAUCCGGAUUUAUUGGGUUUAAAGGGUGCGCAGGCGGAUGAUCAAGUCAGCGGUUAAAUUGAGGGGCUUAACCUCUUCGAGCCGUUGAUACUGUUUGUCUCGAGUGAGGAAGAAGUAUGCGGAAUGAG
RNAcentral lists this ribosomal RNA (334 nucleotides) under uncultured bacterium. RNAcentral's name for it is "partial 16S ribosomal RNA". It matches the Rfam family "Bacterial small subunit ribosomal RNA", at positions 338 to 670 of the family's 1533-position model. The record is from RNAcentral.